AGAGUUUGAUCCUGGCUCAGGACGAACGCUGGCGGCGUGCCUAACACAUGCAAGUCGAACGGAACUUUUUUAAAAGAUUUCUUCGGAAUGAUUUUGAUUAAGUUUAGUGGCGGACGGGUGAGUAACGCGUGAGUAACCUGCCUCUAAGAGGGGAAUAACAUUCUGAAAAGAAUGCUAAUACCGCAUAACAUAUAUUUAUCACAUGGUAGAUAUAUCAAAGAUUUAUCGCUUAGAGAUGGACUCGCGUCCGAUUAGUUAGUUGGUGAGGUAACGGCUCACCAAGACUGCGAUCGGUAGCCGGACUGAGAGGUUGAACGGCCACAUUGGGACUGAGACACGGCCCAGACUCCUACGGGAGGCAGCAGUGGGGGAUAUUGCGCAAUGGGGGAAACCCUGACGCAGCAACGCCGCGUGAAGGAUGAAGGUCUUCGGAUUGUAAACUUCUUUUAUUAAGGACGAAGAAAGUGACGGUACUUAAUGAAUAAGCUCCGGCUAACUACGUGCCAGCAGCCGCGGUAAUACGUAGGGAGCAAGCGUUGUCCGGAUUUACUGGGUGUAAAGGGUGCGUAGGCGGCUUUGCAAGUCAGAUGUGAAAUCUAUGGGCUCAACCCAUAGCCUGCAUUUGAAACUGCAGAGCUUGAGUGAAGUAGAGGCAGGCGGAAUUCCCCGUGUAGCGGUGAAAUGCGUAGAGAUGGGGAGGAACACCAGUGGCGAAGGCGGCCUGCUGGGCUUUAACUGACGCUGAGGCACGAAAGCGUGGGUAGCAAACAGGAUUAGAUACCCUGGUAGUCCACGCUGUAAACGAUGAUUACUAGGUGUGGGGGGUCUGACCCCUUCCGUGCCGGAGUUAACACAAUAAGUAAUCCACCUGGGGAGUACGGCCGCAAGGUUGA
This 893-nucleotide ribosomal RNA is filed under the name uncultured bacterium. RNAcentral describes it as "bacterial SSU rRNA". It matches the Rfam family "Bacterial small subunit ribosomal RNA", at positions 8 to 897 of the family's 1533-position model. The record is from RNAcentral.